RNAcentral lists this unclassified non-coding RNA (391 nucleotides) under uncultured Cantharellales. RNAcentral's name for it is "sequence contains ITS2". Lineage: Eukaryota; Fungi; Basidiomycota; Agaricomycetes; Cantharellales. The record is from RNAcentral.
AACGCACCUUGCACCCUCUGGUAUUCCGGAGGGUAUGCCCGGUUGAGUAUUAUGAUCAACUCAAGCCUCUGGUUUCUAAUCGCAAAGGUCUUACGUUCGGCGAAACCGUCUAUUGGGACGGCAGUAGUCAACGCUUGACUUGGAAACUCGGAUUGGCGUUGGACUUGAGCGCAUGUCGGUUGUUGUUAACGAUCGACUCGCUUGAAAUGCAUUAGCUGGCGACCCGCCUUACGGUUCCACUCGACGUAGUAAGCAUUAUUCGUUGAGGACACCUCUCUUGAUUGAAAGGUGGCCGACAGGUGUUUGGUAUUGAAGCCGCUUCUAAUCGUCUUAGGACAAUUUCCAUUGAACGAUUGAUCUCAACUCGGGUAGGACUACCCGCUGAACUUAA